This is a long non-coding RNA of Amblyraja radiata (thorny skate), 448 nucleotides long. RefSeq lists it as uncharacterized. The record is from RefSeq and is a predicted model, not a curated record. Lineage: Eukaryota; Metazoa; Chordata; Chondrichthyes; Rajiformes; Rajidae. The transcript has 2 exons.
UUUACAAAGUGCCUUUAAUGCAACAAGGUGUCCCAAGGUACUCUGCAGGAUUUGUGAGCAGGCAAAACCUGACAAAGAAGCACAUGUGGUGGAAAAAAGGCUUGACCAUAGUUUUCUGGGAUCGUCUGAAAGGAGGAAAGAGGUUUAGGGACGGUAUUCCAGAGGACCCAGGCCUCCAGCUACAGAGCAAGGCCAUUGUGAAUGCAAGUGGGUGACUCGGCUCCUGAAUGGUUUAAUGGACAAUGAGGCUCCACCUCCACCUCCCACCCAGUUACUGGAAAAAGACAUCUCCUGCCUACAACUGACUGGAAAAUCACCCCUCAGGUCAUGGAGACAGCUGUUUAUCUUCAGUCUCUUCUGGUUGUAUUUGCGUUGAUGUAAUAUAAUUACAUUUUAGUUCCGUUUAUUAUUGCCAUCUGUAUCAUGGUCAAUUAAAAAGUUUUUUGCG